GCAUACCAGGUAGACAUUGCCCUUUUUCGAGCACCGGUACGUUUUCCCCGGCGGGGACGCUCGCCGCUGGGAACAAUCCAAACCCUUUGCAGUCCAGCAGUACUUGUCUGAGAAGCGAAGCAAUCAAUUAAAACUUUCAACAACGGAUCUCUUGGUUCUGGCAUCGAUGAAGAACGCAGCGAAAUGCGAUAAGUAGUGUGAAUUGCAGAAUUCAGUGAAUCAUCGAAUCUUUGAACGCACAUUGCGCCCUUUGGCAUUCCUUAGGGCAUGCCUGUUCGAGCGUCAUCUACACCCUCAAGCGCAGCUUGGUGUUGGGCGUCUGUCCGUCUAGGGGACUCGCCUCAAAGUCAUUGGCGGCCGGUACGUGGGCUUCGAGCGCAGCGCGAUCGCGUCUCGAGGCCCGCCGUGCCCGCGUCCACAAGGCAAGAAAAAAAAGUCGACCUCGGAUCAGGUAGGGAUACCCGCU
This 466-nucleotide ribosomal RNA is filed under the name uncultured fungus. RNAcentral's name for it is "eukaryotic LSU rRNA". The stretch from base 132 to 285 matches the Rfam family "5.8S ribosomal RNA". Lineage: Eukaryota; Fungi. The record is from RNAcentral.